GAACUAUAUUGAGAGAGGAAGAAACGCCAUACAUGACUAUAGAGAUGGAGACUUCACUGUUACCAUUAAGAACCUGAUGAAGACAGACUCAGGGACCUACUGGUGUGGAGUGGACAGAUCUAUAAAAGAUUCAUACCAAGAGGUGCAUCUCAUAGUUACAGAUGCUCCUUCUAAACAGUCAACUGUCACUUCCAGACCUCAUGUCUCCACAACCCUCACAAACCUCUCUGCAACAUCCCCAAACCUCUCUUCAACAUCUUCUAACAUCUCCACAACCCUCCCAAACCUCUCUGCAACAUUAUCUAACAUCUCUACAACAUUUCUGGCAUCUGGAGACAUCAGUGGUCACUCUUCAUAGAGCAGAUUCUCCUCCCUUAGACUACUCUCCUGGUGCAGGACAGAGUCAGAGUGCUGUUAAGUUUCAUAUCUACUGAUUUGAGUGGUGACUAAAUAUGGUGUAGAUGUGAGUCUCUCAGAGACCUACAGGAAGUG
Molecule: long non-coding RNA, 492 nt
Organism: Coregonus clupeaformis (lake whitefish)
Lineage: Eukaryota; Metazoa; Chordata; Actinopteri; Salmoniformes; Salmonidae
Exons: 3
Source: RefSeq, a predicted model, not a curated record